Molecule: ribosomal RNA, 2374 nt
Filed under: Bacillus anthracis (anthrax bacterium)
Lineage: Bacteria; Bacillati; Bacillota; Bacilli; Caryophanales; Bacillaceae
Description: partial 23S ribosomal RNA
Rfam family: Bacterial large subunit ribosomal RNA
Source: RNAcentral
UCCUGAAACCGUGUGCCUACAAAUAGUCAGAGCCCGUUAAUGGGUGAUGGCGUGCCUUUUGUAGAAUGAACCGGCGAGGUACGAUCCCGUGCGAGGUUAAGCUGAAGAGGCGGAGCCGCAGCGAAAGCGAGUCUGAAUAGGGCGUUUAGUACGUGGUCGUAGACCCGAAACCAGGUGAUCUACCCAUGUCCAGGGUGAAGUUCAGGUAACACUGAAUGGAGGCCCGAACCCACGCACGUUGAAAAGUGCGGGGAUGAGGUGUGGGUAGCGGAGAAAUUCCAAUCGAACCUGGAGAUAGCUGGUUCUCCCCGAAAUAGCUUUAGGGCUAGCCUUAAGUGUAAGAGUCUUGGAGGUAGAGCACUGAUUGGACUAGGGGUCCUCAUCGGAUUACCGAAUUCAGUCAAACUCCGAAUGCCAAUGACUUAUCCUUAGGAGUCAGACUGCGAGUGAUAAGAUCCGUAGUCAAAAGGGAAACAGCCCAGACCGCCAGCUAAGGUCCCAAAGUGUGUAUUAAGUGGAAAAGGAUGUGGAGUUGCUUAGACAACUAGGAUGUUGGCUUAGAAGCAGCCACCAUUUAAAGAGUGCGUAAUAGCUCACUAGUCGAGUGACUCUGCGCCGAAAAUGUACCGGGGCUAAAUACACCACCGAAGCUGCGGAUUGAUACCAAUGGUAUCAGUGGUAGGGGAGCGUUCUAAGGACAGUGAAGUCAGACCGGAAAGGACUGGUGGAGUGCUUAGAAGUGAGAAUGCCGGUAUGAGUAGCGAAAGACGGGUGAGAAUCCCGUCCACCGAAUGCCUAAGGUUUCCUGAGGAAGGCUCGUCCGCUCAGGGUUAGUCAGGACCUAAGCCGAGGCCGACAGGCGUAGGCGAUGGACAACAGGUUGAUAUUCCUGUACCACCUCUUUAUCGUUUGAGCAAUGGAGGGACGCAGAAGGAUAGAAGAAGCGUGCGAUUGGUUGUGCACGUCCAAGCAGUUAGGCUGAUAAGUAGGCAAAUCCGCUUAUCGUGAAGGCUGAGCUGUGAUGGGGAAGCUCCUUAUGGAGCGAAGUCUUUGAUUCCCCGCUGCCAAGAAAAGCUUCUAGCGAGAUAAAAGGUGCCUGUACCGCAAACCGACACAGGUAGGCGAGGAGAGAAUCCUAAGGUGUGCGAGAGAACUCUGGUUAAGGAACUCGGCAAAAUGACCCCGUAACUUCGGGAGAAGGGGUGCUUUCUUAACGGAAAGCCGCAGUGAAUAGGCCCAAGCGACUGUUUAGCAAAAACACAGCUCUCUGCGAAGCCGUAAGGCGAAGUAUAGGGGGUGACACCUGCCCGGUGCUGGAAGGUUAAGGAGAGGGGUUAGCGUAAGCGAAGCUCUGAACUGAAGCCCCAGUAAACGGCGGCCGUAACUAUAACGGUCCUAAGGUAGCGAAAUUCCUUGUCGGGUAAGUUCCGACCCGCACGAAAGGUGUAACGAUUUGGGCACUGUCUCAACCAGAGACUCGGUGAAAUUAUAGUACCUGUGAAGAUGCAGGUUACCCGCGACAGGACGGAAAGACCCCGUGGAGCUUUACUGUAGCCUGAUAUUGAAUUUUGGUACAGUUUGUACAGGAUAGGCGGGAGCCUUUGAAACCGGAGCGCUAGCUUCGGUGGAGGCGCUGGUGGGAUACCGCCCUGACUGUAUUGAAAUUCUAACCUACGGGUCUUAUCGACCCGGGAGACAGUGUCAGGUGGGCAGUUUGACUGGGGCGGUCGCCUCCUAAAGUGUAACGGAGGCGCCCAAAGGUUCCCUCAGAAUGGUUGGAAAUCAUUCGUAGAGUGCAAAGGCAUAAGGGAGCUUGACUGCGAGACCUACAAGUCGAGCAGGGACGAAAGUCGGGCUUAGUGAUCCGGUGGUUCCGCAUGGAAGGGCCAUCGCUCAACGGAUAAAAGCUACCCCGGGGAUAACAGGCUUAUCUCCCCCAAGAGUCCACAUCGACGGGGAGGUUUGGCACCUCGAUGUCGGCUCAUCGCAUCCUGGGGCUGUAGUCGGUCCCAAGGGUUGGGCUGUUCGCCCAUUAAAGCGGUACGCGAGCUGGGUUCAGAACGUCGUGAGACAGUUCGGUCCCUAUCCGUCGUGGGCGUAGGAAAUUUGAGAGGAGCUGUCCUUAGUACGAGAGGACCGGGAUGGACGCACCGCUGGUGUACCAGUUGUUCUGCCAAGGGCAUAGCUGGGUAGCUAUGUGCGGAAGGGAUAAGUGCUGAAAGCAUCUAAGCAUGAAGCCCCCCUCAAGAUGAGAUUUCCCAUAGCGUAAGCUAGUAAGAUCCCUGAAAGAUGAUCAGGUUGAUAGGUUCGAGGUGGAAGCAUGGUGACAUGUGGAGCUGACGAAUACUAAUAGAUCGAGGACUUAACCAUAUAA